This is a long non-coding RNA of Culex quinquefasciatus (southern house mosquito), 398 nucleotides long. RefSeq lists it as uncharacterized. The transcript has 3 exons. NCBI's taxonomy places the organism in Eukaryota, Metazoa, Arthropoda, Insecta, Diptera, Culicidae. The record is from RefSeq and is a predicted model, not a curated record.
GUCAUCUGGCGACGUAGCCUCCGUUACAAACCGCCGAACUCUUCGCCCGAGGUUCCAGAAAAAUACGACGCAGCUCUAAAGUGUUCGGCCACACCCAGUACCACCGGAGGGAUCGUUAUCAAACGCAUCGGCAAUAGCGAAAGAAGAGAAAUAGUAGGAAUAAGAAGUGAUCUUGAACUUGAAAUGAGUAGGCCUUUGUAAUAGCUUCUAUUGUAUCUCCAAAGUACUACACCGAGGACGCGCUGUUAAAAGCUGGACUAAGAUCGUAGAAUAUUGUGCAUGCCAGUGACCUAAAUUUACGAUCGCAGCCCUACUGCGCGUUGUACCCCAGAACAAAUUGUGCGCCACGCUAAUAUGAUCCCCGUAGAUCGAGCGCAAUAAUUAGAAAUUGAAUUCCC